UCAGCUUGCAGGUGAUUUUUCUUUGUUUUGGUUUUCCUCUAUCAGCUUCUAUUACUCAUAUGUACAUCUGUUGGUUUGCUAUGUGUAAUGGUUUCUUCUCUUUAUUCUGUCACGCAUGCGUGAAGGCAUGGAGUGGAUGGAAAAGGGGAGAUAACUUCAAGAAGAAAAGGUAAUGUAAAAAUUAUUUGGGAUCUGAAACAUAACAGUAACCAGAUUCUUCAAUACCUCAGAUCACUAUUAUUUCUGUUGUGUGAUUUCAUUUUUGUGAAUACAAGUGGUUUGUCUCCUCAGAUAAAGAAAUUCAUUCUCCAAACCCAGGCUCUUUACUCGUAUAUUUGUCUAUCAGGGAAUUGAACACCACGGUUGCAGGCACAUAUGUGCCAAAUGCAUGAUGGAUGGUAGAAAUGUUGAGUGUCUCGUGAGUACAGUCCUUU
Molecule: long non-coding RNA, 434 nt
Filed under: Setaria viridis
Lineage: Eukaryota; Viridiplantae; Streptophyta; Magnoliopsida; Poales; Poaceae
Description: long non-coding RNA (SVIR_LNC006531)
Source: RNAcentral